This 1448-nucleotide ribosomal RNA is filed under the name uncultured Glaciecola sp. RNAcentral's name for it is "partial 16S ribosomal RNA". It matches the Rfam family "Bacterial small subunit ribosomal RNA". Lineage: Bacteria; Pseudomonadati; Pseudomonadota; Gammaproteobacteria; Alteromonadales; Alteromonadaceae. The record is from RNAcentral.
CUGGGGGCACGGCCCUAUACACACAUGGCAAAGUUCGAACGGUUAAACAGAAACUUAGCUUGCUAGUGCUGACGAGGGGCGGAACGGGUGAGUAAUAACUUAGGAUCUGCCUUUUUGUGGAGGAUAAACUUAUUGGAAACGAUUAGCUAAUACCGCAUUAACGUUUCUCGGAACCAAAAGGAGGGCCUUAGGCUCUCGCGCCAGAGAAGGAACCUUAAGCGGAGAUUUAGCUUGUUGGGGAGGUAAGGCUUACCCAAGGGGAGCGAUUCUAGGAGCCCGGUCCAGAAUCCUUCCGGAGGCAGCAGUGGGGAAUUUGCCCAAUGGGGCAACCUGAUGCAGCAUGCCGCGGUGUGAAGAAGCCUUCGGGUUGUAAAGCACUUUCAGUUGUGAGGAAAGGUAGUAGUAUACUGCUAGCUGUGACGUUAACAACAGAAGAAGCACCAGCUACUCGUGCCAGCAGCCGCGGUAAUACGGAGGGUGCGAGCGUUAAUCGGAAUUACUGGGCGUAAAGCGCACGCAGGCGGUCUGUUAAGCUAGAUGUGAAAGCCCCGCGCUCAACGUGGGAGGGUCAUUUAGAACUGGCAGACUAGAGUCUUGGAGAGGGGAGUGGAAUUCCAGGUGUAGCGGUGAAAUGCGUAGAGAUCUGGAGGAACAUCAAUGGCGAAGGCAACUCCCUGGCCAAAGACUGACGCUCAUGUGCGAAAGUGUGGGUAGCGAACAGGAUUAGAUACCCUGGUAGUCCACACCGUAAACGCUGUCUACUAGCUGUUUGUGGAUUUAAUCCGUGAGUAGCGAAGCUAACGCGAUAAGUAGACCGCCUGGGGAGUACGGCCGCAAGGUUAAAACUCAAAUGAAUUGACCGGGGGCCCGCACAAGCGGUGGAGCAUGUGGUUUAAUUCGAUGCAACGCGAAGAACCUUACCUACUCUUGACAUACUAGAAACUUUUCAGAGAUGAAUUGGUGCCUUCGGGAAUCUAGAUACAGGUGCUGCAUGGCUGUCGUCAGCUCGUGUCGUGAGAUGUUGGGUUAAGUCCCGCAACGAGCGCAACCCUUGUCCUUAGUUACCAGCAUUAAGUUGGGUACUUUAAGGAGACUGCCGGUGACAAACCGGAGGAAGGUGGGGACGACGUCAAGUCAUCAUGGCCCUUACGAGUAGGGCUACACACGUGCUACAAUGGCGAGUACAAAGGGAUGCAAACUGGUGACAGUAAGCGGACCCCUUAAAGCUCGUCGUAGUCCGGAUUGGAGUCUGCAACUCGACUCCAUGAAGUCGGAAUCGCUAGUAAUCGUAGGUCAGCAUACUACGGUGAAUACGUUCCCGGGCCUUGUACACACCGCCCGUCACACCAUGGGAGUGGGAUGCAAAAGAAGUAGGUAGCUUAACCUUCGGGAUGGCGCUUACCACUUUGUGUUUCAUGACUGGGGUGAAGUCGUAACAAAGUAGCCGU